GGGCGAUUAGCUCAGUUGGUAGAGCACCUCGUUUACACCGAGGGAGUCGGCGGUUCGAGUCCGUCAUCGCCCACCA
Molecule: transfer RNA, 76 nt
Filed under: Chloroflexaceae bacterium
Lineage: Bacteria; Bacillati; Chloroflexota; Chloroflexia; Chloroflexales; Chloroflexaceae
Also listed under: 1 other name
Description: tRNA-Val
Rfam family: tRNA
About the family: Transfer RNA (tRNA) molecules are approximately 80 nucleotides in length. Their secondary structure includes four short double-helical elements and three loops (D, anti-codon, and T loops). Further hydrogen bonds mediate the characteristic L-shaped molecular structure. tRNAs have two regions of fundamental functional importance: the anti-codon, which is responsible for specific mRNA codon recognition, and the 3' end, to which the tRNAs corresponding amino acid is attached (by aminoacyl-tRNA synthetases). tRNAs cope with the degeneracy of the genetic code in two manners: having more than one tRNA (with a specific anti-codon) for a particular amino acid; and 'wobble' base-pairing, i.e. permitting non-standard base-pairing at the 3rd anti-codon position.
Source: RNAcentral